UAGGGUUCGAUUCCGGAGAGGGAGCCUGAGAAACGGCUACCACUUCCAAGGAAGGCAGCAGGCGCGCAAAUUACCCAAUCCGGAUUCCGGGAGGUAGUGACAAGAAAUAACAAUAGUUCGGCUUUUGUCAAACUAAUUGGAAUGAGUACAAUUUAAACCUCUUAACGAGAAACAAUUGGAGGGCAAGUCUGGUGCCAGCAGCCGCGGUAAUUCCAGCUCCAAUAGCGUAUACUAAAGUUGUUGCAGUUAAAAAGCUCGUAGUUGGAUUUCUGUGUGAGAGGGACGGGAAGGCGCAAGCGUUUUUUCUGACNUUUUGCACAUCCUGUCGCAAACCACGGUNCUCUUUANUGUAGUGUCGUUGGGGAUCGACUCGUUUACUUUGAGAAAAAUAGAGUGUUCAAAGCAGGGUAUGCCUCUGAAUAAGUUAGCAUGGAAUAAUGAUAAAGGACUUCGGUUCAUUUUGUUGGUGUUUGGGACUGAAGUAAUGAUUGAUAGGGACAGUUGGGGGCAUCAGUAUUCAAAAGCGAGAGGUGAAAUUCUUAGACCUUUUGAAGACUAACCGCUGCGAAAGCGUUUGCCAAGGAUGUUCCCUUUGAUCAAGAACUAAAGUUUGGGGAUCGAAGACGAUCAGAUACCGUCGUAGUCUGAAACUAUAAACUAUAUCAGCUAGGGAUCAGCCGGCGUAAUAUUUAAGGACUCGGUUGGCACCUUAUGAGAAAUUAAAGCAUUUGGGUUCCGGGGGGAGUAUGGUCGCAAGGCUGAAACUUAAAGGAAUUGACGGAAGGGCACCACCAGGUGUGGAGCGUGUGGCUUAAUUUGACUCAACACGGGAAAACUUACCAGGUCCAGACAUAGUAAGGAUUGACAGAUUGAGAGCUCUUUCUUGAUUCUAUGGGUGGUGGUGCAUGGCCGUUCUUAGUUGGUGGAGUGAUUUGUCUGGUUAAUUCCGUUAACGAACGAGACCCCAGCCUGCUAAAUAGCUGAAAUAAGGUUUUCCUUGUUAUGAGCUUCUUAGAGGGACCAUAGACUCGUCUACAGACUAGGGAAGUUUGGGGCAAUAACAGGUCUGUGAUGCCCUUAGAUGUUCUGGGCCGCACACGGGCUACACUGACGCCUGCAACGAGCAUAUCAGCUGGUCCGAAAGGAUCUUGGCUAAUCUUUUGAACUUGCGUCGUGCUAGGGAUUGACUAUUGCAAUUGUUAGUCAUGCAACGAGGAAUACCUUGUAAACGCGAGUCAUCAACUCGCAUUGAAUACGUCCCUGCCCUUUGUACACACCGCCCGUCGCUUCUACCGAUUGAAUAUUCCCAUGAAAUCUUCAGAGGAGUCCGGUGAGUUGGGCUUGCCCAAGGAACCGGCUUCCAAAGUCGUUUAAAUCGGAACAUUUAGAGGAAGGAGAAGUCGUAACAAGGUUUCCGUAGGUGAACCUGCGGAAGGAUCAAUGACACAAGCGCGCAAGCGCCCACAACUUUACCCCGUGUAUGGUAUCCCCGCGCUCGGUUUCAAAUUUAUUUUGGAGUCGGCCGGGGCUCGAAGACCCUCCCAAUUUUUUUACCCCUCACGCAAUUUUAAAACCGCGAGUUGACUGAAGGAAGCGGUUCUGUUUUUACAGGGCCCUACCACUAAACAACUUUAUAUUUUUUUCGAACCCCGAGGAAAAUAUCUUUCAACGAUGGAUCUCUUGGUUCCCGCAACGAUGAAGAACGCCGCGAAACGCGAUAUGUAAUGUGAAUUGCAGGAUUCAGCGAAUCAUCAAAUCUUUGAACGCAAAUUGCGCUCGGCCCUCGUGGCUGAGUAUACCUGGUUCAGCUUCGUUUUGCACUGGCAACCCGCCAUGAAAAUGGAUUGGGAGAUUUGGAGGAGUGUUGGGCGUUGUGCCGCUCCCGCGGUCCAUCGCUUUAAAUUUUUUAAGGGUUGUCGCGUUGUUCGGUCUUUGACUGUCCGAUGCGCCAAGGUAAUUUUUACUUCGGUGCGCCUAAGUUGGACUUUCGAGUUGGAUUCGCUUGAUGACUUUUUAAAUUUUAACUUUUUAGCUUGAACUGAACUCAGGGAAGAAGACCCGCCGAAUUUAAACAUAUUACUAAGCGGAGGAAAAGAAACUAACCAGGAUUCCCCUAGUAACGGCGAGUGAAGUGGGACCAGCUCAAUAUGUAAAGCUGCCGCCUAUGGCGGUCGCAUUGUAACCUUGCAGUGGAUCAAUUCGGGGAAGGCGGGAAUAAUUCGUCGUUGAGAUA
Molecule: ribosomal RNA, 2233 nt
Filed under: Pyloniidae sp. KE-2014
Lineage: Eukaryota; Polycystinea; Spumellaria; Pyloniidae
Description: eukaryotic LSU rRNA
Rfam family: Eukaryotic small subunit ribosomal RNA (bases 1-1443)
Source: RNAcentral